This 407-nucleotide ribosomal RNA is filed under the name uncultured bacterium. RNAcentral describes it as "partial 16S ribosomal RNA". It matches the Rfam family "Bacterial small subunit ribosomal RNA", at positions 30 to 526 of the family's 1533-position model. The record is from RNAcentral.
AUUGAACGCUAGCGGGAUGCCUUACACAUGCAAGUCGAACGGAGUGGCGAACGGGUGAGUAAGGUAUCUGAACGUGCCCAGUAGCGGGGGAUAAGUACGCGAACGCGAAGCUAAUACCGCAUACUAUUGGACAGGCGGCUAUGGGAUUGGCUAGUGGGUGGGGUAACGGCUCACCAAGGCGACGAUCCGUAGCUGGUUUGAGAGGACGACCAGCCACACUGGAACUGAGACACGGCCCAGACUCCUACGGGAGGCAGCAGUGGGGAAUAUUGGACAAUGGGGGAAACCCUGAUCCAGCCAUCCCGCGUGUGCGAUGAAGGCCUUCGGGUUGUAAAGCACUUUUGGCAGGGAGGCGGUACCCGCAGAAUAAGCACCGGCUAACUACGUGCCAGCAGCCGCGGUAAUUC